Lagopus muta (rock ptarmigan) is the source of this 13908-nucleotide long non-coding RNA. RefSeq lists it as uncharacterized. The transcript has 10 exons. Lineage: Eukaryota; Metazoa; Chordata; Aves; Galliformes; Phasianidae. The record is from RefSeq and is a predicted model, not a curated record.
UGACGUUCAGAACUGGGUUUUCCAGCUGAAGAUAAGCUUUCUGCAUUGAUUUCUCUUUCAAUCCGACCAGCUGGACACAAUGCUGAUAAAACAUCCUUGGCUACAGGAGGUUCUCAUGAGUGCCCAAUGGCCACAGGUGCUCUCCAGCCUGCUAAGGAGGUUUUAAAUAGGAGAAACAAAUACAACUAAAUUAUAUGUGUGCCCCCAGUAGGAGGAAGCUGACCUGUGGAGGAGGAGGAGUGUCCAGUAUCGUGAGCACCAUCUCAACACAGUGACAGAAACUCUUACAAAGCUGAAUUCUAGAGAAGAUUGAAUCCUGCCUCCUUUUGCACUGGGAAGCCAAGCAACCAUGCAACUUGCAGGACUUGGGACCCUUUUCUUCUCAUGCCUGGAGCCAGCCUCAAACAUACAACAAAGUCCAUUCAGGAGCUAAUAUCAAAGGAGCAAGGUUUUUUCAGCAAUGGUAGAUGCACACCUUAUACCCACGCCCUAUAGAUGAUGGAACAUUGAAUAAGAUGAAUGCCUAACUGGUCAGAUCCUUUUCUGAUGAACGGUGGUGUAUCUGGGGUAAGUGCAGCUACAUCUACACAGAACACCUUAGUAAGACUGAUUUCAUCCCACCCAUUUAAAUCUGUCUUGCAGACUUGUCUGCACAGCAGAACCAAAACGUCUCUGCCCCCUUCAUUCCCUGAUUUCAGCUGAUAAAGUCUCCUCAUAAAUCCCACGUGCGAUAGCAGCAGCGUGACCCAUCACUUCAUUACAUCAACUUGCAAAGCUCUGUAUUGUGCUGAGGAGGAACCUAUCUGGGCAGAAUGGAUCCAAUCCAGGAACAAAUAAAGGAAUCUAGUUAUUUCUGGGCAAGUUCUGCAUGAUUUACUGCUUCUCAAUUUUCCUGCUGUCAGCUAGUUUUUCUCCUAUUCGUAUUCCCUCUCCAUGCAGGAGGGCAAGUAUCCAGAUGGCAUAGGUAUCCUGGUUAGUUUUACUUCUUAGCUGAUUUCUUAACAGUGCAGCUGUCGGGAGAGCCAACCUGAAUGUUGGUUCGGAUUGGGGUGAGAUGCACAUAUUCAUUGUCAUCUAGCUUUAGCUGUUUCAGUGCAUGCCUCUUUGUUCCCAAAUAAAGAAUCUGCCCCAGUGCAUGACAGUGCAUCUCUGCAGGCAUCCCUGCCUGCAUGGUACAAUGAGGAAUCUUUGCACAGGGAGGUGGUUUCCUGAUGAACAGAUAUUGUAUAUCUUUUGUAGAACACUUGUAUAACAUUUUUCACUGUCAACAGGAAGGGAUUAAAGCAAGAUGGUAUGUCAGGCUCUAGGCUGCUGUGCAUUUAUUUGGUGCAUAGUAGAAGAUGUAAGAGGUAGGGAAAACAAACCAUGUUUUCUUCUGUAUUUUUUUAAGCUUUUGUUUGUGAUUACUUUCCAGCAAUUUUAAAAGGUAGUACAAGGCCAAGAAAGAACAGCUAGCUUGUUUAGUCUGAUGUGGUAUGUAUCACUAGUUUAUUUCUUCCAGGACAUUACUUUUUCCAUGCAUUUACUUAAUGGUUUGUAUUUGACUAAUGCACAUCUUUCAGAAAGGUUGAUUCAAUGAUUGCUGGAAUUUCCUGUGCUUUCUAAAACAUUAAUAAUUACACUUGUGCCAAGCCUCCUUUGCUAAAUUCUGCUAUGAUUCUCCUAUGCAAUAUGCAAUUGCCUUGCAAUUUUGAUAACUUCAGCAGACAUAACUCUUGUAGCUACUGUCCCAGCUUUAAAAUUAUUUCAUUGGUCUUGUUGUCUUAUCUUGCAUCCCUCCAAAUACGGGACUGAGAUAUUUACUGAUAACUUUUGUCCACCCUGAACAUUUAAGCUGUCAUUUCCAGGUAGCCUGAGGCUUGUAUAGAGUCUCAGUUGCAACACAGAGUAUUUCUGCUGAGUUUCCCUCUAAAGCAAUGUGAAUCCAUUCAGGUUUCUGUCCAUCUGUCAGUUGCUCUGUGAUGAGCUCUGUGGAUUUUCACAACGUGCAUGAUUUCAUCUUCUAAUUUCUAAAUUAAUAAAUUUCCUAAAAUCAAACUUGAAUGGAAUUAAACUUGUUCUGGAAUGAUGAUAGCCUAAAUUCAGUGCAAAUGCCUUGAAAAAAGAAUCUUGUUUUCACAUUAAUGUAUCUUGCACAAAAACAACAGUUGAGAGUAUACGUUCACUGCCGAAUUUGUAAAGAAUGUCAAAUGACUAAACUGGAGAAAUGACUGGCUAGACACCUGGAGUAGGAGCUCCAUGAGUAAUAAGCAGCUCUUGACAGCUGUAGCCUCUUUUGCAGGUGCAAAAGGAGCAUCUUUUUCUUUUAUCCACUUUCCAUCAGUUGGAAUCUUCCAAGCUGUGAAAACAGCUGGGAGUUGAAACAAGAGGAAAAUCAGUUUACCCUCUCCUAUCCUAUGAGUAAGAGGUGUGUGUGGGAGUCUGAGAUCAACAAAUUCUGACCUCAGAAAACAUGGAAGCAAGGAAAAAAAUAGCUCAGGUCAUUAAUUACCAAUCAUAUCUCUAAUGUUAGGUACAUCAGAGCUACCUUGACGUGCAUUGAAUGUUUUGGUAAUAUUUUCUAAAAUAUUCAGGACACAAUUAAAUGAUUAGACUCUUCUGCAUGUUUUUGUUUAGGAGCAGCAUGACGCAGAACACUUUAAAAAGGUAAUUGAAUGACUAAAACUGUCACGUACUUUUUUUUUUCACCUGUCAGAUGUAAAAAUCAGGACAAAGUAAAUGCUGAUGUUAUGUGGUGAUGCACACACAGUUACAGUGUGUUCACUCAGUGAACAAAAGCAAUUAAUCACUACAGAAGAGUUACGUUUGUUUUGUUUUGUAAUUAAACAUCUCUAUUCAUUUUUAUUCUUUCAGAGUAACGCUUUCUUAGGAGUAUCUGUUAGAAGGCACACAAAUGCAAUACAGACCAAGUUACCUGAAUUGGGUUUUCUUGGUUCUGAUUUAAAUGACAAUUAACUACAUUAAUUUAAACCACAGUGUUAUAAAUGGGUCUGUCUUGCUUUAAAGAUAAUUAAGGAUAUAACUUGAAAACAUGCUUCUUUCAGUGCUGUAACUCAGUGAGUUUUCAGAAUAACUCCAGUCUUAAUAAAUCAAGGCAAGCUGUGGAAGCCUUACUUAGUGCAGCAGUCUCAAUAUCUGAAGUUAAGGCCACUGAAGAAUAUAUUAACAUUUAUAAUUGCUAAGUUGAUCAGUAACGCAAAUCAAAAAUGAGAAUUUCAAAACAAAUUAACCUUUGCAGCACGUCAUGUGGAGACAGACAGACAGUGAAAUCUCUGGAAAGGUUCCCCUUGUCCUUGCAGUGAUUUGUCACAAAUCAGCAUAUCCUCCGUGCUGCUUUCCUGCUCUGCAGCAGGCAGCCUCUGGAGUCCAAAUGUCCAAAAAAUAAACUCUGAUAACAGAGAGAACAACGUGGACAGUCUGAGGGUGGCAAGUCACUGCAUGGGCUGUUGUUGCUUUGCAUCUCUGCAGGCAGAUUUGUAUUUUGGGACUAAGAUUAAUAUGUUUAGGCUAGGGCCAGAUGGGUUUAUAAUUAGAUGCACACAGUCUCUGACCUAUUAAUUGAAGCUCAUGCUUUCCUGUGUCUAUACCCCACAUUUAACAAGAUGCUACUCUGAAGCAAUCAGUAGAAAAAGGCUCUUCCUUCCCAGUUGACCCUCUGCUUAAAAUCUGCCGGUUCCAUGCUUUGUUGAGAAACCUACAAUGCUCCAUCAGUUCUGAGUGCACCACACCACGCCCAGACUCUCAGAAAAAUGCAGAUGCUCUCAAAUGAAAGCAAAAAUUGCAGUCCUUCGUGGAGGAAUGUUGCGUGGGUGACUGCAGAGGGAAGAAAGGAGCAAAUAUUGCAAACAUCUUUGGCCUAUUCUCCUAUAGAUUUGUCAACUUCCAGAAAGAUUUUGUCAAACGACACAACUGAUGAAGACUUCAAACUCACCAAACAGUACUGCCCCAAGGAACAGAAGACAAGAGUGGGCGCAUGGAGCAGCUCAGCACCUCAGCAGAGGGAAAUCUCCUGGGAUUUGGCACAUCGAAGUGGGAAAAUGCAGCACCAACUCACUCCUAGAGAAAAGCCAUCCUAGACUCAUAUUACUCAUAUCUCUUUGACUUGGCCACCAAAAUCCAUUUCUUGCUGCCUUGUCAGCAAGAAAUGAAGCCAAGGCUGGUGGGACAGCAGUGGAGUCACCCAGGAUCCCUCUGCUUCUGGAGGACAAAACAUCUACCCCCCUGCUCAUCUGUCAGGAUUCCCCCUCUGGAAAAGAAGAUCAGAGCAAAUGGGGAAUGAGGAGAAUAAAAGCUGUCCCAAACCUUUGACCUCAACUUAACGUAAAGCCAAAUGAAACCCUAGAGCCAGUUGCUGUCCCAUGAAGGAGAUUAAUACCAAUGGGACUAUUUCCCCUAAACAAGGAGAAUCUGCAUGAUGAGAAGAGCAAAAGAAGUUGUAUGUCCACAGAACUUGCAGAAGUCUCAAGAAAACUCCUGAAUUCAGUGUGAGUUGGAAGCCAGGUCCUAGCAUCUUGCUUCACAUCACCGCAGUGCCAUCAUUGCCUGUCUUCUGAGACAUGGAUUUUCACUCUGUCCAUGCUGGUUGACACCAGCAAAUCAUUCCAGGCAGGAGCCAGGAACCUUCUACCAGAGCAUUGCCACCAGGAUGAGUCUGCAGGGACUGCCCAGAGACACCUGGAAAAUCAAGUGCCAGAAACUAGUGGUGCAGGAGAGCCAGCACCUCCGUUAACAGAUCGGUUUAUACCUGCAAGAACUUGUCCCACCAAACCAAAAAAAAACAUCAUCCUACUCAUGCACAGUUCCCCAAAACGUCACAAAAGCGACUUUCGGCCUUUAAAUCUGAUCUGUCUCCAUUUGAGAUGCCUCUGAGAGCGUAGGUGUGACUAGAAGAUUAUUACCAAAUAUAAAUUUAAUUCAGUAAAAGUUAUUUAGAAAAAAAAAAUUACACUGCAGUUAUCAAAGUCCUCUGCACAUCCUUCCCAGCAGACAUUCUGUCUGUCUUACUUGUGGGGAACUACUCUUGGUCAGAAUGCUGCAGGUGUUUUAAAAUUAAAAAAAAAAAAAAAAAAAAGUUUGUCGCGUAACUUUUAGCGGUGUUUAUUUUGCGUGAGCAAAAUUGUCUUCUGUCUUAAGAUGUUUAAUCAUUAUUUGAAAGCCACUUGAUGAAUAGAAGAGUGUGUACUCCCACACGGGACAAACAUAUUUUUAGACUGAUUCAUAAUAAUUUAUUUCUGUCAGAGUGGAAUGCAUUAAUUUCUUCUACUGGUAAGGGCUUCACUGCUGCUUCUUUUCCUAAGGUAGAUGGUUCUGCUCUGGGAACAUAUUAGCUGAUUUAAGUGGAUGCAGCCAGGUACUCAGUUAUGUCAUGGCUAUCUCAACGAUCUCUUAAGGAACACUGAGUACUUAUUUUUGUGGAUACGGUGCACUCUGUGUUUCAUCACAGACCUUUGUCACUUUGUUAUUUACGGAAUUCAGAUUACUGCAAUCUAAAAGUUUCUCAGUCCUUGUUAGUGCUCAGUGACACAAAAUAAACCCACAUAUUAAGGAGGGAAAAAAAAAAAAAAGACCAAACAAAACAAGAAAAAGAAAAAAGAAAGAAAAUGAAAGCAGCAAUGUGAAAAUGCACAGCUAUAAAGGGAAGUAUUAUUAUUUGCUAAUAGUUUCCAUGUAGAAGUUAGCUGCUGAGUGCCGGGCUCUGUGCAGUGCAGGGGGAUGCAGCCAGGCAUCUGCCUCCAUGUCCCUCCUGAUGUAGGCAGAGCAGGACCACAAUGCUCUCCAAGUUCCUUUUUUAGUAAAAUCAUUCCUCGUCCAAGAGCUGCUGGGCCCCACUGUGUGCCAGAAAUACCCGCGGUCCUCUGGGAAUUGCAGCCCUUGGCCCUGCCCAAGCCCCAGUCCUCCCAACCCAGCAGGAUCCUCCCAGCCAGGGCUGGUGGCAGCACUGCUCCUCACUUCAUUUGAAGGGCAGCAGACAGAAAUUGACUAUCUAUUUAUUUAUUUAUUUAUCUGUCUAUUUUUGGCACGGGAUAGCUAACAACUCGUGCGUGGCUGUAAAAGACUGCAUGCAGGCUGCAGGGUGAGAAGCUCUGUGUGUUGUCAUCCGUUUCUUCCAUACCCAGUUUUGCCUUUCCUGUGCUGCUGCCACUGGAGUACAGAGAGACCCAGAGCAGUGAUGCCAUUCUGCUGCUGGCCUUGCCUGCUCUGAUCUUUUCCACUCUCAGAGAAGGUUUUGGCCCUAGAGCCUUUGCCAAGAGUCAUCCCUACAAAUCCAGGUGGGAUGAUGCUUUGGAUGGGGCAGGCUGCUAUCAGGUUGCCCUCAAUGGAGAUGUGUGAGCAGGGCAGAGGGAGAACGAGGAGUGGGUGGUGCCGUACAAAAUGAGCUCAAAGUAGGCACAGGGCUCAGAAGUGCUGCUGGGUAUCUCAUGUGCUGCUAAUGAGGCUGAUAAGGAACCUGUGAGAGGGAAGGAAUGGGAAAGAUGGUCUCAGAUCCACUUGGAGGUCAAUGAUUAUGAAGUAGGGAUGGAAUUAGGGUGGAGAAGUCAUGGUUGGGUAAGGGUCGAGUUGAGGAACUUGGGAUAGACUCCCAUUGAGAUGUUUAAUGAACUCAGCUUCUUGCUACCAAGAUGGUGCUUUCUUAAGUACCUGUACAUAGCUCAUGGUUCAGCUCUAACCCUCCAAGAGGUCACCUGUGUCUGGCAGCAGACAUUUCAUAUGUCUGCACACAUGCACUAUGUGAUUAGAGCAGGUGAUAACAAGUGUGCAAAAACAUCUCUGGUCUAGGGAACUAUAUACUGCUCACUGAGCUGAUCCGUAGUGAUAGAGUCAUAGAAUUGUUUGAAUUAGAAGGGACCCUUAAAGCUCAUCUAGUCCAACUCCCUUGCAAUACCCUAUCAGGUGCUUGGAGCCCCAUCCAGCCUGACCUUGAAAGUCAAGUACUGAUCAAGUAGUGACCAAAUGCUUCCUAUGUGCUGGGAGGUGCAUCUGGGAGGUGAGCUUCAGGGCAAGGCAAGGUGGUCCCAUGCACCUGAAUGGCAACCUGAUGAACUGCAUUUAGUUUCUUCAGCUACCUGAAGCCUCCUUUAGUAUUUUUGAAAAAAAGAGUUGCUUUUCAAAGGCACUGAGUGUUCCCAGUUGCAAUAGGUAUUAAUAAGAUUUGGGUUUUACAAGCAUAACAUAUAUGUCUCUGAGAAAUAAGAUUUCUGGCCAGUUUGGAUACCCUAAAACUAGAAAACACUUUUUAUUUUAAUCUGAUUAUAUUUCAUCUCUUCCUAUUCUCACAACAUGUGAUUUGACUGCAGGAAUACUUAUGUUGGUUUUUGGAUGACCCGUUAAUGAGAAGUACAGAAAGCCCAUGAGGCUCUGAACAGUCUUGUCUUGCUGUUACUUGAUCUCGGAAAUAAGGCAUGGUGUCAUGCAGUAAACAUGAAAUAGAAAACCAAACAUAAAGUCAUUAAAAAUGUGCCAUCUGGUCUGUGCAGAUAAGGAGCAGAAAACUCUUAGGAAAACUCUAAGGAAGUUCUUAGGAACUCAACUGCAGUUGCUCAAUCGAAGUUAGGGUAAAGGUGCUGCUUAUGUCUGUCUGUACUAUUGCACAGAUGAGGUCUGAGUUCAGCUGCUCAUCUGACACAGAGUCAUAUUCAUCCUGACACCAGGUGUUAUGUUGCACUAGGAAUAAAGCAGCCACUUGCUGACUGAGUGAGCUGUACUCACAGUGAGGGAUGGUGGCAUUGCUGGGCCCUGUGUUGGAGGCUGGAGAUGGCUGAUCCAUUCCUGCAGCUCCAGACCCUGCUGGGAACCUGAACUGUUAACCUGAAUGCUCAUUUUUAUGUGUUUUCCGCUGAAACUGUUUAAAAGCAUCUCUGUUGCUGUGAAUUCCUGCCUAUUUGUCAUAAAGGGGGAAAAACACCAAACAGGAAUUAACAAGAGGAUUUUCUUUGUGACUUCAGUGCCUCAUUAGGAGGUUUAUGAUCAGGCUUUGGGAAAGCUUUCCUUGAAUUAUUUUAAGGUUCUAAUGAUAAAAACCUCGGGGAGGUCAUGCACAUGGGAGAUUUAAUACCCCUUCAGAACCAUCUGGCAUUAGAUUACAUGCAGGGAAAGAACAAAAUCUGGCAGUAAUAUUCAUCUCCAUUAACCCAGAAUACAGGCUGAUAUGAUUAUAGCAGAGAAAAUGCUCUCACUCUGUCACUAGGAAAAGCUCUUAAUAGACCCAGGCUAAAUUGGUUUAUAAAACUAAAGACUUCUUGAAGCAUGGAUCUGCCCUCUCAUUGAGUGCAUUAGCUUUGGCUUUUAAUAUGUUUUAUAUCUUUUUAACGUCGACAAAUAAUAUGUUAAAGCAUAAAAUAUUGCUAGGGUGAAAGACGGUGUUUGGAGCUCCCAACUUACUCCAUGAAUACAAUGCUAGUGGUGUAAGCACAGCCUUGGAGCAUGGUCCACUCGUGCUUUGCUUCUACCUCUUCUCAAGAGCAUCAGCAAGGUCAUGGUCCCAGUGACAUCCUCAGCAAAACUUGAAAUGCUGUUGGUGGCAAUAAGAUCCUCUAUCCUCUCAACUGCUCUUCUGAGAGCCCAAACCAGCAAAGUGCUAAAGCAAGCAUUUGGCCUAUGGCACACUGAGCACUUCAGGAUUUAUGUACUUCUCUCUAAGAAAGCCAGUAUUUAAAUUCUUGGCUAAACCAGAACUUUAGGAGAAAGUAGAGAAAAUAGAAAAGCGUAGAGUAAGAAGAGGACCAGGAAAGCCACUGUUCUCUGCCCCUCAGUGUGAGGGUGUUUGAUGCAAACCCUCCUGAGCAAAGCACUACAGAGACACAGACAGAGUCACUGCCCUGCACCCAAACUGCUGACUCUCCUCUAAUUGGCUGCCUGGUAGUUCCUGCAUCCAAACAGGCUCAUCUUGUUACUCUCCAUCUGCACAAUGACUUCUCCAGACGUAGUCUCUCUUCCCCUUCAAAUUUUCCUUUCCUUUCACCUCCUCUUCCCUCCACUCUCAGCUCUAUCUCCGGACAGCUCCUUUCCUUCAGCCAGAAUUAUGAUUCCCUCCUUACAUGGAAAGCAAAACCAUAUGGGAGACAAGAAAAGGCCAUUUAUCUCAAAGUCUAUUAAGAUGUGGAGACCUCGCAUUAAGGCUCCAGUUCAGCCAGCCUUUCUUGCACGUGUUGCUGUCAUCUCCUUCCACCAGAACAGGGAUGUACUCCUGAGGCAGACUUGCUAAGAUGCUCUUAGCUUGUCAUCGGGUUUGUACUUAGCAUGGCUCUGCAUACAAAACAUUUAAAGGAAAUAAAAAAUUAAGACGUUGCCACAUCUUUUCCCUCAGCCUUCAAAGCCACCUCUGCCAGUUCUCCCUAUUUUAUUGUCAUCCUGGGACAGAGUCGUAGAGCAGUAAACAGAAUGGGCAUGAAGCCUGGCAAAGGGAAGUCACCAAAUGGAUGCUUCUACCUGUGUGACUGGGAGGGUUGACAUUACUGAAUUAGCAACUGCUUUAGGAUGAGAGUGCAGAAGAUGGCUGCUCUUUUAACUUGGGGUGAAAGCCUCCAUCUUUCACACUUCUGGGGAGUUAAGAGAUAUGGAGCCUUGUAAGACACAACUGCUGGAGUCCUGCAGUGCCUGCUGUUAUGUUUCUGCUCCCUUCUCCAGGGUUGUAACAUAUUUGCUGACGGAUUUACACUGCAGUUGGAAACCAGAACCCAGGACAGCCUGUUCCCUUGCUUCGUGCUAUAAACAUAAAUACACUCGCACAGCCAUUUGUAGCUGGUUCUUUCUAUCUGCACAAGGAUUUUAUUAUCUUUCUCUAAAGCGGUCUAAAGAGGAGCAAGAGACUCGCAACAAAAGGAAGUGCUUGAACAGGAACAAGAAUAAAAAGGAGCAAAGGGCAGGAAGUUGCUAAGAGACCACGCAAGCAAGAGUGGGGAAUUAAUGGCAGAUAUCAAAGCAGCUAUUGGAAACCACAUGUUUUCCUACAAGGGCUCAUUUAUUGAGGAGGAGCUGCUAUCAGAAGGCAGCAGUGUUGCUCUGGUCUGAAGUACAUUUGUAACGCAGAAAAAACUUUCUCCCAUUUACAGUUUUGUUCUCUGCAGGGCGAGUUGCUAAGUUAAUGACAGGCCUUUAAAUUAACUACUGUUAUGGAACAGCAGAGCGAGUAAUAUGGAAAAAAAUGCAAGCAAUUAUGGUUUAAAUAAACCUUAUCCACUGCAUUAUUAGAAACUACCUGAGCUGAGAUUUCAGCAGUGUUAGGUUUGUCCUCAGCUCUCCUCAGUGAGAAUCUGGGUCCCACAGGGUUGAACAGUGUGGGAAAUGCUGAACAAUUCCAGCUGAGCUCUCAGCUGCUGUCUCAAAUUCCUGAUUUUCACCUCCUGAUUUUGUUGUUACUUUGCCUCUAAUGCACUAUGGGUCUUUUGACUAUAAAAGAACCAACAAGACAAGCAGGUAAGGGAGGGCAAGAGAAGAACGAUAAUUGCAUCGAAAGGCACUUAAAUGGUAAUGUUGGCAAUGGCCUGAACAACCCACACUAACCUCCUCAGUACCUCCCAAUUCUGGACUCAAUUUGAGAUUACAUCUGCCAUAGCGUGAUAGUCUUUGUAGAUGAUCUUAAUGUCCUUUCCAACUUUAAUGAUUCUGUGAUAGCCCAACGGCCACAGCCACUCUGAGUAAGGCAGGGUGCUUUGCUGGCUUUGCUUGCACGGGCAAAAUUAUUGCAGUCUUUCAACUGCUGCUCUGGGAGAAGUGUUCCAGCUCUGCUAUAUAGAAUGGUUCCAGCUGUUCUCCACUCCUCCAGAGAUAUCAUCAGAGAGCAGUCGCUUACACUGAGAUUACGUUAAUGAUAUCAAAGGGUGUGGAAGAAGGCUGCUAAUUAGUAAGCCCUCAAGGCACAAAGAUAUAAAUAGCCCUGAAGCAGCAAGAGAGCAGAUCCAAAUCUGCAGUCUAACAUUAUCUCGGGCUGAAAGCAUUAUGUGUUGACUGAUUCCACCAGAGGAGAGUGAUUGAACUUUCCUGUUGAGCAAAAAAAGCAGGGCUUGUUUUGAUUGAUAAAUCUCCAUGUCAGAUUGUGCAGCAUAUUAUCCAUUUAUCGUGCCACCUGCCAUGCCUGAGACAGGAGCAGCAGCAGUGAGAACAUGAUAGGAUGGGAUGAACCUUCCUUUUGGAGAAAAAAUAUUGGCUCAUACUUUUACUUAUUAAAAUAAAUAAAUAAAAUAGCACCUAUCUCUAUUUCCAUUGCCAAAAGUUUAAAUGCUUCUGGGAUCCAGCCAAAAGGCAAAGAUUGUGGUAAGCAGCUAAUAUCUGUCAGCAGAGAAUUUGCAGGAAAAAUAAGGCUAUUCCAACUAGCGUGGUCAUGGUAGAGAGGGAAUGUCAGUGCUGAGGGAGAUGAAAAUCACAGCAUGGCCCUGCAGAGUCUCUCAGGCUCAGGAGUCACAUCCCUCAUCUCACAGCACUGGUGCCAGUGCUCUCCCCAUUUUCUUGCAUGUCUGCAACUGGAAAACCAGUCAGCUCUCCUAAAUCGCCAUCCUGUAUUUGGAUGCAACUUACUGUACUCCUCCACACUUUGCUCCCUGUAAGGAUUACUUAUAUAAAGUUGUUGCAUUGAUUUUUUUCUACUGUUGUUGGGUGGAUUUUUUUUCUUUUAAUUGUUUUAUUGUUGGUCUUUUUAAGUCCUAGGCUGUUUUUUGAACACCACACCAACCAGCCGCUUGCAGCAUCUUGACAGCACUACCACCCUGCAAUAAACUUACAGAAUUUGGUUUUUCAGUGAAGGUUGGCUGUAAGGGAAGAGGGGGAGAGGAAAGCACAAGAAAAAACCCAAAAUUCCCUUCCAAGCACCAUCCCAGCCAUACGCAUGGACUUGCACAGCUGUUCCCAAGCGCGGUAUCGGAGCACCGCACGUAAGGAGCACUUCUGCAGGACCACACAAGUUUGCUGCUAUUCUUAAGCCGAGCCUCGCAAUUGGGAAACUCCUGCCAAGUCGUUUGAGACAGUGGCACCUGGGAAGUAUUAUAUGAGUCUGUAUUGCAUCAUGAGAACCCUAUUUGCACUUAAUUACACAACUCCCUCUCUCCUCCCAGUAGAACGAGCGGGACAGAUGCUACAUCUACAAAGUGAGAAUCAAACACAUUUUUUAAGUGGAGUCUGACAGCCUGAAGCCUAGAGGCAGGCUUCAGACCAGAUCCCAGCAGUGAAGAUCCUCACAGUACUGAAUGGCUCAGGCCAAUGAGUUUUUGUGCAUGGAUCCCACAUACCUUACUAUGGGCCUGUCUCAUGCUCCUGCCUCCUUAUGCAGAAAUGUAGUUGAGGAGGUUUUGACCACCAUCCUCUUCCUUGGUCUUUCUCUGUGAGCCUUUUGCAGCCAGAAGCCUGGAUAUUAUCUUCACAAGGCUCCUGCCACAUCUUUUCUAUGGUGCUGGUCACCAUCUUAACACAGUGUGUUAAGAAGCCUUGCAAGGCUUCUUUAUCCAAACCUGUAGAUUGCACUGGUGCCUCUGGAUUUGAGUCAGGUUAACGGACAUCAGUUGGGCUAACCAAUGAAGAUUCUCUGACAACAAUGAGCGAUGGAGAGGCAGGAAAACCCCAAACUGGCUUUGCUAAGCCCAGAUAAAUAACAGCAGCACCACCACAUCAUGCUUGACAGGAGCAGAUCCUCUCAAAACAGGCAGCAGGCAGGUGGGCACAGAUCCACCACUGGCUAACACCUGCCUGAAGUGGCAGACUCUAUUGCUGUUCUGCAGGCCAUCGCAGACUGCAUGGCAACAAAUGUGCAAACUGCUCUUUUUAAAGCAACUCUUUGGAAGUUUGGAUCCUCAUGUGCAUUUCUAACCUGAGCUCAUUACUUAAGCCCUUGCAAUUGUAUGUAACCGGAGGCAUUACCCUUUUUUUCUCCCUUCAUAAAUCAAAUCUCCCAUCUUUUGCCAUAUAAUCCAAGACUGAAAAUACCUUUUCUGUUUAUGUCACACCACGGUAAUGCAGUCACUGAUCUGCCACAGGCUUCAGCUGCUGUAAAUUCUUUUCCUACUGCCCUUUCCCCCACCAGCUUUCUCGCAGUGCUUUAUGGCUCACAGGUCUGGGCAUUGAUUCAGUAGUUUCUUUAAGGAGGGCCCAGAAGGUAUGAUGGAAAAGUAUGUUUAUCAGAUGUGAUAUAGUUGAAUGAAUGCAGUAAAUGCUGUCCUACACAAACAAAAAUACAAAUCCAGCAAGGAAAGUUUUAAUGUGCCCACCUCAAAAAUUUUGCUGAUAAUGAUUAAUGCUGUGGAUGAGAAGAGGGGUUCUCACAACCUUUGUGUUGACUGUUAAUCUGCAUGGAAACCACUUGCACAAAGUUUAAGUCAGUGCAGAUCACCAACUAUUUCUGUGCAGCUCCUCUUAUGAUGACUUUCACAAUAAAAUGGGAGAUCUUCCAUGGUUUCACUUUAAUACUUGUCUGAUUCAAUUUGUCAUUUAUUUAGGCAUCGUCUACACUUUAAAACAGGAAAAAGAAAUAUAGGUUAGCAAAGGUUUGCUGUGUUCUCUUCCAGAUUUCCAGCAUCUUCUCAGAUGGUUGGUAAAUUCACUCCACAGAUAAAUCAUUGAGGCUUUUUCACACACUCUUUCAUUUUAGUAUACAUUAAAUGAGAAAAUAUUAGGGCACACACAAAAAAAUAGUUCAGCUUUCAUGUUUCCUUCAGCGUGUGGUGUAAGCAUGUUCUUCUGACUACACACCAAGGCUAGCUGGUGUUUUGCCUACUUGGCACAUUUGGAAAACAUGCAUGCCUAACUUUACAGCUCAAAUAUGAGUCAUUGUUGUAAUUUAAUGUUUUAUAUGCUGAGAAACACUGUGUUUUUGAAUAAGAUGAUUAGCAAACAGCGUUUGCAAUGCUGGAUACUGUUAGGUGAAACAAUAUUUCUUGUAUCAGGAUUGUAAUUGAUUUUUCCUCUAUAAAGAAGUUUCCCCUCAGA